RNAcentral lists this ribosomal RNA (473 nucleotides) under uncultured soil bacterium. RNAcentral describes it as "bacterial SSU rRNA". It matches the Rfam family "Bacterial small subunit ribosomal RNA", at positions 26 to 523 of the family's 1533-position model. The record is from RNAcentral.
AGCCUGAACGCUGGCGGCGUGGCUAAGACAUGCAAGUCGCACGGUGUAGCAAUACACAGUGGCGGACGGGAGAGUAAAGAAUCGCUAAUGUGCCCCGGACCUCUGGGAUAGCUGCUCGAAAGGGCAGGUAAUACCAGAUGAGACCACGAUCAGGCAUCUGAUUGUGCUCAAAAGGUCCGCCGGUCUGGGAAGCAGGCGAUUUCGUAUCAGCUAGUUGGUGAGGUAACGGCUCACCAAGGCGACGACGCGUAGCCGGACUGAGAGGUUGGCCGGCCUCAUUGGGACUGAGACACUGCCCAGACGUCCUACCGGGGGGGCUGCAGUAACGAAUCCCUCGUCAAAUGCAACGAAAGUGUGAACGAGCGACGCCGCGUGAGGAGAAGCCCUCGGGUGUAAACUACUGUCGAGGGUUAGAAAGUUCUGACUCAACCCAGAGAAGAGCGGACUAACUCUGUGCCAGACACGCGCGGUAA